Molecule: ribosomal RNA, 501 nt
Filed under: uncultured bacterium
Lineage: Bacteria
Description: partial 16S ribosomal RNA
Rfam family: Bacterial small subunit ribosomal RNA
Source: RNAcentral
AUUGAACGCUGGCGGCAGGCUUAACACAUGCAAGUCGAGCGGGGGAAGGUAGCUUGCUACCGGACCUAGCGGCGGACGGGUGAGUAAUGCUUAGGAAUCUGCCUAUUAGUGGGGGACAACAUCUCGAAAGGGAUGCUAAUACCGCAUACGUCCUACGGGAGAAAGCAGGGGAUCUUCGGACCUUGCGCUAAUAGAUGAGCCUAAGUCGGAUUAGCUAGUUGGGGGGGUAAAGGCCUACCAAGGCGACGCUCUGUAGGCGGUCUGAGAGGAUGGUCCGCCAAACUGGGACUGAGACACGGCCCAGACUCCUACGGGAGGCAGCAGUGGGGAAUAUUGGACAAUGGGGGGAACCCUGAUCCAGCCAUGCCGCGUGUGUGAAGAAGGCCUUAUGGUUGUAAAGCACUUUAAGCGAGGAGGAGGCUACUCUAGUUAAUACCUAGGGAUAGUGGACGUUACUCGCAGAAUAAGCACCGGCUAACUCUGUGCCAGCAGCCGCGGUAA